RNAcentral lists this unclassified non-coding RNA (253 nucleotides) under fungal sp. RNAcentral's name for it is "partial internal transcribed spacer region". The stretch from base 1 to 46 matches the Rfam family "Eukaryotic small subunit ribosomal RNA", at positions 1786 to 1831 of the family's 1831-position model. Lineage: Eukaryota; Fungi. The record is from RNAcentral.
AAGUCGUAACAAGGUUUCCGUAGGUGAACCUGCGGAAGGAUCAUUAACAAAUCUGAGAUCGCUAGUUACGAAGUACUUUUUUUUAAAAGUGCUUAGUAUCUAGUGGAUCACAUUGACUCGGGCGCUGCUCUAAUCAUACUUUUUUGUGUGAUUAGUGGGGAUGCCCUGAGACAUACACGCUUGUUUUGUUUGAUAGAGUAACAGGUAACAUUAUAAAUAAUGACAACUUUUAACAAUGGAUCUCUUGGCUCUU